RNAcentral lists this ribosomal RNA (274 nucleotides) under uncultured bacterium. Its description in RNAcentral is "partial 16S ribosomal RNA". It matches the Rfam family "Bacterial small subunit ribosomal RNA", at positions 523 to 796 of the family's 1533-position model. The record is from RNAcentral.
AUACGAGUGCCCCGAGCGUUAUCCGGAAUCACUGGGCGUAAAGGGUGCGUAGGUGGCCGCGUUAGUCUUUCGUAAAAUCUUCGGGCUCAACCUGAAGCUGGCGAAAGAAACGGCGUGGCUUGAGGGUGUGAGAGGUGUGUGGAACUCAUGGUGUAGGGGUGAAAUCCGUUGAUAUCAUGGGGAACACCGAAUGCGAAGGCAGCACACUGGCACAUUCCUGACACUGAGGCACGAAAGCGUGGGUAGCGAAUGGGAUUAGAAACCCUAGUAGUCC